GACGAACGCUGGCGGCGUGCCUAAUACAUGCAAGUCGAGCGAGCUUGCCUAGAUGAAUUUGGUGCUUGCACCAGAUGAAACUAGAUACAAGCGAGCGGCGGACGGGUGAGUAACACGUGGGUAACCUGCCCAAGAGACUGGGAUAACACCUGGAAACAGAUGCUAAUACCGGAUAACAACACUAGACGCAUGUCUAGAGUUUAAAAGAUGGUUCUGCUAUCACUCUUGGAUGGACCUGCGGUGCAUUAGCUAGUUGGUAAGGCAACGGCUUACCAAGGCAAUGAUGCAUAGCCGAGUUGAGAGACGGAUCGGCCACAUUGGGACUGAGACACCGCCCAAACUCCUACGGGAGGCAGCAGUAGGGAAUCUUCCACAAUGGACGCAAGUCUGAUGGAGCAACGCCGCGUGAGUGAAGAAGGGUUUCGGCUCGUAAAGCUCUGUUGGUAGUGAAGAAAGAUAGAGGUAGUAACUGGCCUUUAUUUGACGGUAAUUACUUAGAAAGUCACGGCUAACUACGUG
Molecule: ribosomal RNA, 519 nt
Filed under: uncultured bacterium
Lineage: Bacteria
Description: partial 16S ribosomal RNA
Rfam family: Bacterial small subunit ribosomal RNA
Source: RNAcentral